GACGAACGCUGGCGGCGUGCUUAACACAUGCAAGUCGAACGGAAAGGCCCUGCUUUUGUGGGGUGCUCGAGUGGCGAACGGGUGAGUAACACGUGAGUAACCUGCCCUUGACUUUGGGAUAACUUCAGGAAACUGGGGCUAAUACCGGAUAGGAGCUCCUGCUGCAUGGUGGGGGUUGGAAAGUUUCGGCGGUUGGGGAUGGACUCGCGGCUUAUCAGCUUGUUGGUGGGGUAGUGGCUUACCAAGGCUUUGACGGGUAGCCGGCCUGAGCGGGUGACCGGCCACAUUGGGACUGAGAUACGGCACAGACUCGUACGGGGGGCAACGGUGGGGAAUAUUGCACAAUGGGCGGAAGCCUAAUGCAGCAACGCCGCGUGGGGGAUGACGGCCUUCGGGUUGUAAACCGCUUUCGCCUGUGACGAAGCGUGAGUGACGGUAAUGGGUAAAGAAGCACCGGCUAACUACGUG
Molecule: ribosomal RNA, 468 nt
Filed under: uncultured bacterium
Lineage: Bacteria
Description: partial 16S ribosomal RNA
Rfam family: Bacterial small subunit ribosomal RNA
Source: RNAcentral